Molecule: ribosomal RNA, 521 nt
Filed under: uncultured bacterium
Lineage: Bacteria
Description: bacterial SSU rRNA
Rfam family: Archaeal small subunit ribosomal RNA
Source: RNAcentral
AACCUCCGCAAUGUACGAAAGUACGACGGGGGGAUCCCAAGUGUUAUGCUUUUUUGUAUAACUUUUCAUUAGUGUAAAAAGCUUUUAGAAUAAGAGCUGGGCAAGACCGGUGCCAGCCGCCGCGGUAACACCGGCAGCUCGAGUGGUAGCUGUUUUUAUUGGGCCUAAAGCGUUCGUAGCCGGUUUGAUAAGUCUUUGGUGAAAGCUUGUAGCUUAACUAUAAGAAUUGCUGGAGAUACCAUCAGACUUGAAGUCGGGAGAGGUUAGAGGUACUACCGGGGUAGGGGUGAAAUCCUAUAAUCCUGGGAGGGCCACCUGUGGCGAAGGCGUCUAACUGGAACGAUCUUGACGGUGAGUAACGAAAGCCAGGGGCGCGAACCGGAUUAGAUACCCGGGUAGUCCUAACUGUAAACGAUGCGGACUUGGUGUUGGGGUGGCUUUGAGCUGCUCCAGUGCCGAAGGGAAGCUGUUAAGUCCGCCGCCUGGGAAGUACGGUCGCAAGACUGAAACUUAAAGGAAUU